AGUUGGCCAUCUUUGCCCACAGGAUAUGAAUUCAACUAACUUCCAGAUUGAAAAUAUUCAGGGAAAAAAAUCACAUCUGUGUUGAAUAGAUUGGAACCCCAGGAUACAACUGGUGAUGCCAUGGGAAUUCUCCCAACUGGGAAAGAAGACAAGCACUUACACCAGCUGUGAAAUUCACCUUUUGAUUUUCCACCUUCCUGCUAGUGCACGCCCUGGGAGGCAGCAGGUGAUGGCUCAAGUACUUGAGUCAUUGCUACCACUAUGGGAAACUUGGAUCGUGAUCUUGACUCCUUCCCCUGACUCCUGUGUGCAUUUGGGAUGUGAACCA
Molecule: long non-coding RNA, 328 nt
Organism: Lepus europaeus (European hare)
Lineage: Eukaryota; Metazoa; Chordata; Mammalia; Lagomorpha; Leporidae
Exons: 3
Source: RefSeq, a predicted model, not a curated record